RNAcentral lists this ribosomal RNA (460 nucleotides) under uncultured bacterium. RNAcentral describes it as "partial 16S ribosomal RNA". It matches the Rfam family "Bacterial small subunit ribosomal RNA", at positions 338 to 795 of the family's 1533-position model. The record is from RNAcentral.
CCUACGGGAGGCAGCAGUGAGGAAUAUUGGUCAAUGGGCGAGAGCCUGAACCAGCCACGUAGCGUGAAGGAUGACUGCCCUAGGAGUUGUAAACUUCUUUUAUAGGGGAAUAAAGUGAGUCACGUGUGCCGUUUUGUAUGUACUUUAUGAAUAAGGAUCGGCUAACUCCGUGCCAGCAGCCGCGGUAAUACGGAGGAUCCGAGCGUUAUCCGGAUUUAUUGGGUUUAAAGGGAGCGUAGGUGGGUUGUUAAGUCAGUUGUGAAAGUUUGGGGCUCAACCGUAAAAUUGCAAUUGAUACUGGCAGUCUUGAGUGCAGUAGAGGUGAGCGGAAUUCGUGGUGUAGCGGUGAAAUGCGUAGAUAUCAGGAAGAACUCCGAUUGCGAAGGCAGCUAACUGGCCUGCAACUGACACUGAGGCUCGAAAGUGUGGGUAUCAAACAGGAUUAGAUACCCGUGUAGUC